RNAcentral lists this ribosomal RNA (507 nucleotides) under uncultured Arthrobacter sp. RNAcentral's name for it is "bacterial SSU rRNA". It matches the Rfam family "Bacterial small subunit ribosomal RNA", at positions 8 to 526 of the family's 1533-position model. The record is from RNAcentral. Lineage: Bacteria; Bacillati; Actinomycetota; Actinomycetes; Micrococcales; Micrococcaceae.
AGAGUUUGAUCCUGGCUCAGGAUGAACGCUGGCGGCGUGCUUAACACAUGCAAGUCGAACGAUGACCCGGUGCUUGCACCGGUGAUUAGUGGCGAACGGGUGAGUAACACGUGAGUAACCUGCCCUUAACUCUGGGAUAAGCCUGGGAAACUGGGUCUAAUACCGGAUAUGACUCCUCAUCGCAUGGUGGGGGGUGGAAAGCUUUUUUGUGGUUUUGGAUGGACUCGCGGCCUAUCAGCUUGUUGGUGAGGUAAUGGCUCACCAAGGCGACGACGGGUAGCCGGCCUGAGAGGGUGACCGGCCACACUGGGACUGAGACACGGCCCAGACUCCUACGGGAGGCAGCAGUGGGGAAUAUUGCACAAUGGGCGAAAGCCUGAUGCAGCGACGCCGCGUGAGGGAUGACGGCCUUCGGGUUGUAAACCUCUUUCAGUAGGGAAGAAGCGUAAGUGACGGUACCUGCAGAAGAAGCGCCGGCUAACUACGUGCCAGCAGCCGCGGUAAUAC